RNAcentral lists this ribosomal RNA (376 nucleotides) under uncultured organism. RNAcentral describes it as "partial 16S ribosomal RNA". It matches the Rfam family "Bacterial small subunit ribosomal RNA", at positions 527 to 896 of the family's 1533-position model. The record is from RNAcentral.
GUAGGUGGCAAGCGUUGUCCGGGAAUUAUUGGGGCGUAAAGCGCGCGCAGGCGGUUCUUUAAGACUGAUGUGAAAGCCCACGGGCUCAACCGUGGGAGGGUCAUUGGAAACUGGAGAACUUGAGUACAGAAGAGGAAAGCGGAAUUCCACGUGUAGCGGUGAGAUGCGUAGAGAUGUGGAGGAACACCAGUGGCGAAGGCGGCUUUCUGGUCUGUAACUGACGCUGAGGCGCGAAAGCGUGGGGAGCAAGCAGGAUUAGAUACCCUGGUAGUCCACGCCGUAAACGAUGAGUGCUAAGUGUUAGGGGGUUUCCGCCCCUUAGUGCUGCAGCUAACGCAUUAAGCACUCCGCCUGGGGAGUACGGCCGCAAAGGCUG